This 303-nucleotide ribosomal RNA is filed under the name uncultured bacterium. Its description in RNAcentral is "partial 16S ribosomal RNA". It matches the Rfam family "Bacterial small subunit ribosomal RNA", at positions 507 to 807 of the family's 1533-position model. The record is from RNAcentral.
AGCAGCAGCCACGGGAAUACGAAGGGGGCUAGCGUUGUUCGGAUUUACUGGGCGUAAAGCGCACGUAGGCGGACUUUUAAGUCAGGGGUGAAAUCCCGGGGCUCAACCCCGGAACUGCCUUUGAUACUGGGAGUCUUGAGUUCGAGAGAGGUGAGUGGAAUUGCGAGUGUAGAGGUGAAAUUCGUAGAUAUUCGGAAGAACACCAGUGGCGAAGGCGGCUCACUGGCUCAUUCUAGACGCUGAGGUGCGAAAGCGUGGGGAGCAAACAGGAUUAGAUACCCCAGUAGUCCCUGUCUCUUAUAC